CCAUCCCUGCCAGCCUAUAAUUUCCACACUUCUUCCGUCUGUCCCGCCCAAUCAGAGUGCCUCCGCGGAGCGUCCUGGCGAUCUAAUUGCCCGCACACCCUUGUGAGCUGUGCGCCCUCCUCCGCCCCAUUAGGCAGGAGGACCACUAGUCCUUCCAUCAUAAAGGUGAACUGGAGGAUAUCUGCUACCACGGAAGGCCCAGGGCCCCAGAAGUGGUACUCCCAAACAGCAGCGAGGCGAAAGGAAAGAGAAAGGGCUUGUCCAGGAACGCCCACCGCACACGGUUUCCUCCAACCCCAGUGGGGACUUCCUUUUCACAGUACCUAGCGUCUCUGAGGCGGUGACACAAGACACUCAACAUGGCCGCUUCCAAACUGGUAAAGGCAGCAAUGGUCGCAGCUGCUGCUCCAGCCUCCGGGAGUGGAGUGGGCCUUGGCAGUGGGACUCGGCUCAGGCACUAGGUUCUGGCGCGGCUAGUAGAGGCGUUCUUGCUUCUGGGCGCGCGUGCCCUGUACCUGUGAACUGGCAGCGGUGGGCUCAGUGGCGAACGGAAGACCCCGGAGGUCAGUCCUCCCCGGGGCAUCAGAAGCCCCGAAGGUUCCGGUGCCCACUUGCAAAUAGUGAGAAGCUGCCCCCGGCCGUAGAGGUAGAACCGAAUGAAUUCAUCUUUACCUUCAAGGGCCCUCCGGGUGAGGGAGAAACAGCAAGGGGCUGCUCCUGAAUUUAAAAACUCAUUUCUGGCUGCCUCUGUAUGGAAUGGAUUUACUCCAGGGUGCAGGUUACCGACCUUCUUUGACAUUUUCCUUUGGCUUUCCAAAACAAUCUCGCUUUCCCCAAUGACUCCGCAUUUAUUCCUACUGUUAUACAAAAGGGAAAUAUUUGCAAUGUCAUGAUUGCGUUUAGCUAAGAAUCUAAGGAAGCCAAAUUUCACUAAUGAUUGGUACGUUAUGAUAUGAAUUGCUUUUGUGAUUUCCAAAGUCUAGAACUUAAUCGAUAAGAACAUUUUAAUGAGAAAAAGCUAAAUAACUUUAUAUAUGUGUAUACAAUAUAACUUUAUAUAUGUUUAAAGAGUAAAAUAGUAAUAGCAUUUUAAAAUAUUUUUUAUAUGUUGGAAGAAUCUUAAAUAUUUGUUUCACUGGAAAUAUAUAUACCCUUAUACACAAAGGAGCCAUUGGCACUCUGUUCAAGGUUAAGAUGCAUUUUUAGUAAGUAGUUAUAUUAGCCUAACUACUAUAUAUUACUGCCUACAACGUGUGAGGUAUGAUACUAACCCAUGAAAGACCAUUAAGAUCUUGUGAGAGUAAAACAUAUAUUUUGUUGUUGUUGUUGUUAUUGUUGUUUGGUACCAGUGAUAGCCGAGGCGGUUAGCCACUGAGCCACAUACAUCCCCUGCCUUUUUUUAUAUUUUAUUUAGAAACUGGGUCUCGCUGAAUUGCUUGGGCCCUCGCUAAGUUUCUGAGGCUGGCUUUGAACUCUGAGAUCCUUCUGCCUCACCCUCCAGGAUUAUAGGCUUGUGCCACAGCUCCUAGUUAUGGCUUAUUUUUAAUCAAAGAAAAUGCAUUACAAUAUGGAAGAGAACCCAUGGACUGUGAGAACUAGAGAAAUGUCACUUAAUAUUGAACACUCCACCACUGUUAGUUUGGGAAAGUCAUUUUAUCUCCCUGAUGUAACUACUAUCAUCCCUGUAGAAUAGGAGGAUUAAAAUAUUGGAUCUCUCAACAUCCAGCACUAAAAAUUGAUGAUCCAUAGGGCUGCCAGUGGGAGGUGUUAUCAAGAAGAUUCUCUGAAUUAGCUGUCACAUGUUAGUUUCAUAUGUAUGAAAUUCCCUGCUUUGUUAAUAUAAUUUUAGUCAUAGAAUAAUAGAUAAAAGAAAUGUACAUUAAAGUUUUCAGAUUUAUAAUCAUUAAAAAUAAAGAUAUUUCUGUAAAUAAAAUUGUGUUUUUAACAUUUUGUUGUAGCUUCAGCCACCACACUUUAUCCUGGGGAUUCCGUGCCAUUGGUAUUUGAUAGAGUUUAGCAAAUUCCCUUUUGGUGUUUAGAUUUAAGUCUCCUUUUCCGUUUUUCAUCACUGUGAAUUAACCUUGAUGAUUUUUGAAUUUUAUGUUCUGUAGUUCUUUAAGUUUUACAAAGAAUUUUUCCCCGACUGCUGUUAAAAAUUAGACUUUUAAGAUCAAAUUCUUCAUGUAACCUGUGCUACUUUAAAAUGAUUUAUUAUCUUUGAUCCCCCCAAAAAUGGAGCAAAACACUUAAAUACCAUUGUUCAUCUUGUGGAUCUAUGUGAGCUCCUGCAUGAAAUCUUGCUUUGAAUUUACUGAAGGAAGCAAUACCCUCCAUGGCAGAUGUCUGUCAGAUAAAUUUAUAAGUGUAGUCAGGAACUUAUCCAAAAGAGGAAAACUUAUGACUACUACAAUAAAGUCAAGUAUUUAAAAGGAAGUGAUUUGAUAAUGCCUAUAUACAAUACUUGAACUAAUUAAUUUUUAUUUUGCCUUUUAAAAAGAAGCCUAUUGUGUUGGAUUCGAAUUGGAUUCAACAUAAACUCAUAAGAUUUGCUGAGGGCCAUUGCCAAGUAGGAAUGACGCAUCGAAAUUUCCUUGCCAGCGUACCCCAUGUUAAAUGGACUUGCCUUGGAAUUUCGCUGUUGACAUUGCAUGUAAGGUGACCUUGCUCAAGGACCAGGGUGGAUCCGGGUUUAGAGCGGAUCAGGUUUGAGGAAGUAUCCUGCUCCUUGAGUUUAAGGGGUUCCCGGUUUAAGACAAUAGGGGUUUUAGGGAAGUUGGAGGUUGAAGAUUAUUGCUACUGGGUGUAGGGCGUUGCUGCUGCCUGAGUUCCCGCUGAGUUUGUGCAGGCAGAUUUUGGAUUUUCCCCAGAAUGUGUUUGUACAGGGCCGGUGUGAGUUCGGGAAUAAAGAAUUGCUGUUUGAAUCUACAAAGCUGUGAGUGGCUCGUGAUUCAGUGCCAAGCCGAGACAUUGGCAAAGAUUCAUAUAUAUAUUGAAAUAUAU
This is a long non-coding RNA of Ictidomys tridecemlineatus (thirteen-lined ground squirrel), 3000 nucleotides long. NCBI's taxonomy places the organism in Eukaryota, Metazoa, Chordata, Mammalia, Rodentia, Sciuridae. The record is from Ensembl.